AAUCUUAGACAAUGGGGGCAACCCUGAUCUAGCCAUGCCGCGUGAGUGAUGAAGGCCUUAGGGUUGUAAAGCUCUUUCAGCUGGGAAGAUAAUGACGGUACCAGCAGAAGAAGCCCCGGCUAACUCCGUGCCAGCAGCCGCGGUAAUACGGAGGGGGCUAGCGUUGUUCGGAAUUACUGGGCGUAAAGCGCACGUAGGCGGACUGGAAAGUCAGAGGUGAAAUCCCAGGGCUCAACCUUGGAACUGCCUUUGAAACUAUCAGUCUGGAGUUCGAGAGAGGUGAGUGGAAUUCCGAGUGUAGAGGUGAAAUUCGUAGAUAUUCGGAGGAACACCAGUGGCGAAGGCGGCUCACUGGCUCGAUACUGACGCUGAGGUGCGAAAGCGUGGGGAGCAAACAGG
Molecule: ribosomal RNA, 399 nt
Filed under: uncultured bacterium
Lineage: Bacteria
Description: bacterial SSU rRNA
Rfam family: Bacterial small subunit ribosomal RNA
Source: RNAcentral